UUACUGAGUUUACGCUCUAUAACCCUUUGUGAACAUACCUAUAACUGUUGCUUCGGCGGGUAGGGUCUCCGUGACCCUCCCGGCCUCCCGCCCCCGGGCGGGUCGGCGCCCGCCGGAGGAUAACCAAACUCUGAUUUAACGACGUUUCUUCUGAGUGGUACAAGCAAAUAAUCAAAACUUUUAACAACGGAUCUCUUGGUUCUGGCAUCGAUGAAGAACGCAGCGAAAUGCGAUAAGUAAUGUGAAUUGCAGAAUUCAGUGAAUCAUCGAAUCUUUGAACGCACAUUGCGCCCGCCAGCAUUCUGGCGGGCAUGCCUGUUCGAGCGUCAUUUCAACCCUCAAGCUCUGCUUGGUGUUGGGGCCCUACAGCUGAUGUAGGCCCUCAAAGGUAGUGGCGGACCCUCCCGGAGCCUCCUUUGCGUAGUAACUUUACGUCUCGCACUGGGAUCCGGAGGGACUCUUGCCGUAAAACCCCCAAUUUUCCAAAGGUUGACCUCGGAUCAGGUAGGAAUACCCGCUGAACUUAAGCAUAUCAAUAAGCGGAGGAAAAGAAACCAACAGGGAUUGCCCCAGUAACGGCGAGUGAAGCGGCAACAGCUCAAAUUUG
This 607-nucleotide ribosomal RNA is filed under the name fungal endophyte. RNAcentral's name for it is "eukaryotic LSU rRNA". The stretch from base 176 to 329 matches the Rfam family "5.8S ribosomal RNA". The record is from RNAcentral. Lineage: Eukaryota; Fungi.